Molecule: ribosomal RNA, 484 nt
Filed under: uncultured bacterium
Lineage: Bacteria
Description: partial 16S ribosomal RNA
Rfam family: Bacterial small subunit ribosomal RNA
Source: RNAcentral
AUUGAACGCUGGCGGCAGGCCUAACACAUGCAAGUCGAGCGGAUGAAGGGAGCUUGCUCCUGGAUUCAGCGGCGGACGGGUGAGUAAUGCCUAGGAAUCUGCCUGGUAGUGGGGGAUAACGUCCGGAAACGGGCGCUAAUACCGCAUACGUUCUGAGGGAGAAAGUGGGGGAUCUUCGGACCUCACGCUAUCAGAUGAGCCUAGGUCGGAUUAGCUAGUUGGUGGGGUAAAGGCCUACCAAGGCGACGAUCCGUAACUGGUCUGAGAGGAUGAUCAGUCACACUGGAACUGAGACACGGUCCAGACUCCUACGGGAGGCAGCAGUAGGGAAUAUUGGACAAUGGGCGAAAGCCUGAUCCAGCCAUGCCGCGUGUGUGAAGAAGGUCUUCGGAUUGUAAAGCACUUUAAGUUGGGAAGAAGAGCAGUAAGUUAAUACCUUGCUGUUUUGACGGUACCAACAGAAUAAGCACCGGCUAACUUCGUG